RNAcentral lists this ribosomal RNA (1273 nucleotides) under Omophron limbatum. RNAcentral describes it as "16S ribosomal RNA". The stretch from base 1043 to 1201 matches the Rfam family "Archaeal large subunit ribosomal RNA", at positions 2542 to 2701 of the family's 2987-position model. Lineage: Eukaryota; Metazoa; Arthropoda; Insecta; Coleoptera; Carabidae. The record is from RNAcentral.
GGAAAUUUUUAUUUAAUAGAAAUAAUUUUAAUAAUUUAAAAUUUAAGUAAAUUUUAUUGAAAAAAAAUAAUUUAUUAUAGUGAAUUAGUAUUGUAUGAGAUUUUUGAAAAAUAAUUUAAUUUAAAAUAAGUAAAAUUUAAUUUUUGUACCUUGUGUAUCAGGGUUUAUUAAAUAAAGGUUAAUUAUUUUAAUUUUCUCGAUUUUAAGAGAGUUAAUAAAUUAUUUUUUUUAUUAUGUAAUUAAUAUUUAUAAUAAUUUAUUAGUAAUGAAAUGUUAUUCGUUCUUAAAUUUAUCUAGUUUAUUUAGAAAUGAAUUUAAUUCAUAUAAUAAAAUUUUAAUAUAUUAAUUUUUUAAUAUAUUAAUUUAUUAUUAUUAAUAAUUAAAGGGAUAAGCUUUUAAUUAAAAAUUUAUAAAUUAUUAAUUAAAUAUAAAAUUUAUAGGUUUAGAAAUAUCCAUUAAUUUAAUUUGUUUUAAUUAAUUUAUGUGUAUUAAUAUUAUUUUUAAUAAUUUUAAUUUUUUUAUAAAUAAAUAAUUUUUAAUUUUAAAAAUUUAGUUAUUAUGAUAGAAUUAGUAUAUAUAUAAUGUUUAAAUAAUUAUAAAUUAAAGAUUAUUUAAAGUAAUUCGGCAAAAAUUUUAUUCGCCUGUUUAACAAAAACAUGUCCUUUAGAAUAUAUAUUUAAGGUCUAACCUGCCCACUGAAUUUUUAAUGGCUGCAGUAUUUUGACUGUACAAAGGUAGCAUAAUCAUUAGUUUUUUAAUUAAAAGCUUGUAUGAAAGGUUGGACGAAAUAAAUUCUGUCUCUAUUUGAUUAAAUCUAGAAUUUAAUUUUUAAGUUAAAAAGCUUAAAUUUUUUUAAAAGACGAGAAGACCCUAUAGAUUUUUAUAUUAUUAUAAUUAUUUUAAUUUAAGAAUUUUUUGUAUUAUAUUUAUUAUAAUAUUUUAUUGGGGUAAUAUAAAGAUUUAAAAAAUUCUUUUUUUUUAUUAACAUUAAUUUAUGAAUUUUUGAUCCAUUUUAUUGAUUAUUAGAUUAAAUUACCUUAGGGAUAACAGCGUAAUUUUUUUUGAGAGUUCAUAUCGAUAAAAAAGUUUGCGACCUCGAUGUUGGAUUAAAAAUUAAUUUAGGUGUAGAAGCUUAAAUGUUUGGUCUGUUCGACCAUUAAAUUUUUACAUGAUCUGAGUUCAGACCGGUGUAAGCCAGGUCGGUUUCUAUCUUUAAAUUAUUAUAAUAUUUUAGUACGAAAGGACCAAAUAUUUAAUAUAUUAAUAUUUUAUU